Molecule: ribosomal RNA, 429 nt
Filed under: Pseudomonadota bacterium
Lineage: Bacteria; Pseudomonadati; Pseudomonadota
Description: Proteobacteria bacterium partial 16S ribosomal RNA
Rfam family: Bacterial small subunit ribosomal RNA
Source: RNAcentral
UGGGGAAUAUUGGACAAUGGGCGAAAGCCUGAUCCAGCCAUGCCGCGUGUGUGAAGAAGGUCUUCGGAUUGUAAAGCACUUUAAGUUGGGAGGAAGGGCAGUAAUCGAAUACCUUGCUGUUUUGACGUUACCGACAGAAUAAGCACCGGCUAACUCUGUGCCAGCAGCCGCUGUAAUACAGAGGGUGCAAGCGUUAAUCGGAAUUACUGGGCGUAAAGCGCGCGUAGGUGGUUCGUUAAGUUGAAUGUGAAAGCCCCGGGCUCAACCUGGGAACUGCAUCCAAAACUGGCGAGCUAGAGUAGGGCAGAGGGUGGUGGAAUUUCCUGUGUAGCGGUGAAAUGCGUAGAUAUAGGAAGGAACACCAGUGGCGAAGGCGACCACCUGGGCUCAUACUGACACUGAGGUGCGAAAGCGUGGGGAGCAAACAGG